Molecule: transfer RNA, 74 nt
Filed under: Candidatus Buchananbacteria bacterium
Lineage: Bacteria; Candidatus Buchananiibacteriota
Description: tRNA-Gly
Rfam family: tRNA
About the family: Transfer RNA (tRNA) molecules are approximately 80 nucleotides in length. Their secondary structure includes four short double-helical elements and three loops (D, anti-codon, and T loops).
Source: RNAcentral
GCGGGUAUCGUAUAGUGGUAGUACGGCAGUUUUCCAAACUGUCGGCGGGAGUUCGAUUCUCCCUACCCGCUCCA